Long non-coding RNA from Haplochromis burtoni (Burton's mouthbrooder), 391 nucleotides. RefSeq lists it as uncharacterized. Lineage: Eukaryota; Metazoa; Chordata; Actinopteri; Cichliformes; Cichlidae. The record is from RefSeq and is a predicted model, not a curated record. The transcript is spliced from 2 exons.
CUUCUACUUCUUCUUCUACUUCUUCUACUUCUACUUGUUCUACUUCUUCUUCUUCUACUACUUCUACUUCUACUACCAUAAACACCUCAAUAAUGAUUUUCCAUCACACCAGCAACUACUUUAGAACCACCAAGAAACUGGCAAGCACGUCUUUGGACAGGUUCAAACUUUCUUGCUGUGAGGUGAUCGAUGCACCAUCGUGCUGUUAUACUGGCUAACUCAUCAAAUCACACCUUCAGCAAGCAAAGCACUUUUUACACUCCAAGCUACAUCCACAGAACUACUAUUCAAGACCCUCUCUAAAUCCUGAGCCCGGGUAAACAACAAGACUUCAACCACAGGUGAGAAUUGGGUAACCAGUGAGGAGUCCAAGAGAUUGGACUGAAAUAAA